CAGCCGCGGUAAUUCCAGCUCCAAUAGCGUAUAUUAAAGUUGUUGCAGUUAAAAAGCUCGUAGUUGAAUUUCGGGAUCGAAUUGUUGGUCGUGCUUCGGUACGCACUGGCAUUAUCGGUUCCUACCUUCUGAAGAACCGCGAUGUCAUUAAUUUGGUGUCGUGGGGAAUCAGGACUGUUACUUUGAAAAAAUUAGAGUGUUUAAAGCAGGCUUACGCUUGAAUACAUUAGCAUGGAAUAAUGAAAUAGGACGUUUGAUUCUAUUUUGUUGGUUUCUAGGAUCGACGUAAUGAUUAAUAGGGAUAGUUGGGGGCAUUAGUAUUCAAUUGUCAGAGGUGAAAUUCUUGGAUUUAUUGAAGACUAACUACUGCGAAAGCAUUUGCCAAGGAUGUUUUCAUUAAUCAAGAACGAAAGUUAGGGGAUCGAAGACGAUCAGAUACCGUCGUAGUCUUAACCAUAAACUAUGCCGACUAGGGAUCGGAUGAUGUA
Molecule: ribosomal RNA, 488 nt
Filed under: uncultured Glomus
Lineage: Eukaryota; Fungi; Glomeromycota; Glomeromycetes; Glomerales; Glomeraceae
Description: SSU rRNA
Rfam family: Eukaryotic small subunit ribosomal RNA
Source: RNAcentral